CGUCAUCCGCCUUGACAGAACCGGCAAUAUCAAACUGACCGUUCUUGAUCUUCACGAUGUACAUCGGAAGCAGCGUCUGGUUGUCCCCGGCACGAACGGUUCGCUGACCAGAUGGCGUCGACCACGACAACCCUCGAAGUGCAUCGCGAACUUUGUCCGUUUCAACACUUCCCGCCUUCUCCACGGCAGCCUUGUACGCAUAGACAAGGCUGUAGGAAUCCGCUGCAAAGAGAUCCGGAUCUGCCUUGAACUUGGCACGAUAGGCAUCAACGAA
This 274-nucleotide unclassified non-coding RNA is filed under the name Hevea brasiliensis (rubber tree). Lineage: Eukaryota; Viridiplantae; Streptophyta; Magnoliopsida; Malpighiales; Euphorbiaceae. The record is from RNAcentral.